This 253-nucleotide ribosomal RNA is filed under the name uncultured bacterium. RNAcentral describes it as "partial 16S ribosomal RNA". It matches the Rfam family "Bacterial small subunit ribosomal RNA", at positions 524 to 776 of the family's 1533-position model. The record is from RNAcentral.
UAUGAAGGGGGCUAGCGUUGCUCGGAAUCACUGGGCGUAAAGCGCACGUAGGUGGUCCGCUAAGUCGCGUGUGAAAUCCCUCGGCUCAACCGAGGAAUUGCGGGCGAUACUGGCGGGCUAGAGAUCGGGAGGGGUGAGUGGAACUCCAGGUGGAGCGGUGAAAUGCGUAGAUAUUGGGAGGAACACCAGUGGCGAAGGCGGCUACCUGGACCGGUUCUGACGCUGAGGCGCGAAAGCGUGGGUAGCAAACAGG